GGUUAAGCGAAUAAGCGUACACGGUGGAUGCCUAGGCAAUCAGAGGCGAUGAAGGACGUGCUAAUCUGCGAAAAGCGUCGGUAAGGUGAUAUGAACCGUUAUACCCGACGAUAUCCGAAUGGGGAAACCCAGUAUCCAAUGGAUACUAUCAUUAACUGAAUCCAUAGGUUAAUGAGGCGAACCGGGAGAACUGAAACAUCUCAGUACCCCGAGGAAAAGAAAUCAACCGAGAUUCCCCUAGUAGCGGCGAGCGAACGGGGAGCAGCCCAGAGUCUUAAUCAAUAGCAGUGUCAGGAGAACGGUCUGGAAAGUCCGGCAGUAAAGGGUGAUAGCCCCGUAUCUGAAGAUGCUGUUAUUGUGAACUCGACGAGUAGGGCGGGACACGUGUUAUCCUGUCUGAAUAUGGGGGGACCAUCCUCCAAGGCUAAAUACUCCUGAUUGACCGAUAGUGAACCAGUACCGUGAGGGAAAGGCGAAAAGAACCCCGGCGAGGGGAGUGAAAAAGAACCUGAAACCGUGUACGUACAAGCAGUAGGAGCCUCUUUAUGGGGUGACUGCGUACCUUUUGUAUAAUGGGUCAGCGACUUAUAUUCUGUAGCAAGGUUAACCGUAUAGGGGAGCCGUAGGGAAACCGAGUCUUAACUGGGCGAAUGAGUUGCAGGGUAUAGACCCGAAACCCGGUGAUCUAUCCAUGGGCAGGUUGAAGGUUGGGUAACACUAACUGGAGGACCGAACCGACUAAUGUUGAAAAAUUAGCGGAUGACUUGUGGAUGGGGGUGAAAGGCCAAUCAAACCGGGAGAUAGCUGGUUCUCCCCGAAAGCUAUUUAGGUAGCGCCUCGUGAACUCAUCUUCGGGGGUAGAGCACUGUUUCGACUAGGGGGUCAUCCCGACUUACCAACUCGAUGCAAACUGCGAAUACCGAAGAAUGUUAUCACGGGAGACACACGGCGGGUGCUAACGUCCGUCGUGAAGAGGGAAACAACCCAGACCGCCAGCUAAGGUCCCAAAGUCAUGGUUAAGUGGGAAACGAAGUGGGAAGGCUCAGACAGCCAGGAUGUUGGCUUAGAAGCAGCCAUCAUUUAAAGAAAGCGUAAUAGCUCACUGGUCGAGUCGGCCCGCGCGGAAGAUGUAACGGGGCUAAACCAUGCACCGAAGCUGCGGCAGCGACACAAUGUGUUGUUGGGUAGGGGAGCGUUCUGUAAGCCUGCGAAGGUGUACUGUGAGGUAUGCUGGAGGUAUCAGAAGUGCGAAUGCUGACAUAAGUAACGAUAAUGCGGGUGAAAAACCCGCACGCCGGAAGACCAAGGGUUCCUGUCCAACGUUAAUCGGGGCAGGGUGAGUCGACCCCUAAGGCGAGGCUGAAAAGCGUAGUCGAUGGGAAACGGGUUAAUAUUCCCGUACUGGUGGUAACUGCGAUGGGGGAACGGAGAAGGCUAGGUUGUCCGGGCGACGGUCGUCCCGGUUCAAGCAGGUAGGCAGAGUGAUUAGGCAAAUCCGGUCACUUAAUGCUGAGAUGUGAUGACGAACCACCAAGGUGGUGAAGCAAUUGAUGCCCCGCUUCCAGGAAAAGCCUCUAAGCUUCAGGUUACCAACAAUCGUACCCCAAACCGACACAGGUGGUCAGGUAGAGAAUACUCAGGCGCUUGAGAGAACUCGGGUGAAGGAACUAGGCAAAAUGGUGCCGUAACUUCGGGAGAAGGCACGCUGGCGGUAAGUAAAGUCCCUCGCGGACAGAGCUGAAGCCAGUCGAAGAUACCAGCUGGCUGCAACUGUUUAUUAAAAACACAGCACUGUGCAAACACGAAAGUGGACGUAUACGGUGUGACGCCUGCCCGGUGCUGGAAGGUUAAUUGAUGGGGUCAGCCGUAAGGCGAAGCUCCUGAUCGAAGCCCCAGUAAACGGCGGCCGUAACUAUAACGGUCCUAAGGUAGCGAAAUUCCUUGUCGGGUAAGUUCCGACCUGCACGAAUGGCGUAAUGAUGGCCAGGCUGUCUCCACCCGAGACUCAGUGAAAUUGAACUCGCUGUGAAGAUGCAGUGUACCCGCGGCAAGACGGAAAGACCCCGUGAACCUUUACUAUAGCUUGACACUGAACAUUGAGCCUUGAUGUGUAGGAUAGGUGGGAGGCUUUGAAGUGUGGACGCCAGUCUGCAUGGAGCCAACCUUGAAAUACCACCCUUUAACGUUUGAUGUUCUAACCUAGGCCCAUAAACUGGGUCGGGGACCGUGUCUGGUGGGUAGUUUGACUGGGGCGGUCUCCUCCUAAAGAGUAACGGAGGAGCACGAAGGUUGGCUAAGCAUGGUCGGACAUCAUGCGGUUAGUGCAAAGGCAUAAGCCAGCUUGACUGCGAGAGUGACGGCUCGAGCAGGUACGAAAGUAGGUCUUAGUGAUCCGGUGGUUCUGAAUGGAAGGGCCAUCGCUCAACGGAUAAAAGGUACUCCGGGGAUAACAGGCUGAUACCGCCCAAGAGUUCAUAUCGACGGCGGUGUUUGGCACCUCGAUGUCGGCUCAUCACAUCCUGGGGCUGAAGUAGGUCCCAAGGGUAUGGCUGUUCGCCAUUUAAAGUGGUACGCGAGCUGGGUUUAGAACGUCGUGAGACAGUUCGGUCCCUAUCUGCCGUGGGCGUUGGAAGAUUGAGAGGGGUUGCUCCUAGUACGAGAGGACCGGAGUGAACGCACCACUGGUGUUCGGGUUGUCAUGCCAAUGGCAUUGCCCGGUAGCUAAGUGCGGAAGAGAUAACCGCUGAAAGCAUCUAAGCGGGAAACUUGCCUCGAGAUGAGUCUUCCCUGUCGCUUUAAGCGACCUAAAGGAACGUUUAAGACUAAGACGUUGAUAGGCUGGGUGUGUAAGCGUAGCGAUACGUUGAGCUAACCAGUACUAAUGAACCGUGAGGCUUAACCUG
This 2903-nucleotide ribosomal RNA is filed under the name Proteus mirabilis. RNAcentral's name for it is "23S ribosomal RNA". It matches the Rfam family "Bacterial large subunit ribosomal RNA". The record is from RNAcentral. Lineage: Bacteria; Pseudomonadati; Pseudomonadota; Gammaproteobacteria; Enterobacterales; Morganellaceae.